This 282-nucleotide ribosomal RNA is filed under the name Triticum aestivum (bread wheat). RNAcentral's name for it is "partial small subunit ribosomal RNA". Lineage: Eukaryota; Viridiplantae; Streptophyta; Magnoliopsida; Poales; Poaceae. The record is from RNAcentral.
AUGGAUAAAAUGAGUAGAGCCUUAGAAAUUUAUCCUUAUUGCACUUUGGCACUCAACCACCUUGCCAACCAGUAUUUCUUUACUGGCCAGCAUUUUGUGGUUGAGCAACUGAGUGAGACUGUUCUCUCUUCAAGCAGUCAUGGACUACUGAAAUCACAAGCCUACUAUAACUUGGCUGGAUCAUACCAUUGUAAGGUGAUGCGCCCCAUUCAUAUACCCAUUGAAUUAGUUGGGUAUUAUUUCACUAAUUCUCUGUGCCGACACUUUGGAUUUCCUUGUUGA